Non-coding RNA from Pseudonaja textilis, 150 nucleotides. NCBI's taxonomy places the organism in Eukaryota, Metazoa, Chordata, Lepidosauria, Squamata, Elapidae. The record is from RefSeq and is a predicted model, not a curated record.
AUGAAGAAGUUUUCCCCUCUGAAAUUCUUGGCCAGAUACAGGCAGAGGUUGCUCGACUGUUCAUAAGCUUGGAUCUCAAACAACAUCAAGUUCUUCGCCCUCUUCUCCCUGGAUUUCUUUCACGGCAGCUGAAACCUCUGUGGUAUAUUU